Molecule: long non-coding RNA, 1489 nt
Filed under: Nicotiana tabacum (common tobacco)
Lineage: Eukaryota; Viridiplantae; Streptophyta; Magnoliopsida; Solanales; Solanaceae
Description: long non-coding RNA (NTAB_LNC005845)
Source: RNAcentral
UCAUGUCUCUCUUAUUACGUUUUUCUCGAUACAAACUGACUAUACAAAUGUAAUGACUUUAGACCAGAGGUGCAGCCAAAGGUCAGUUACAAAACUAAGUAGACGAAGAACAUUUGGUAGCAUGGAGAUGGUAAUCUAAGAUACAGGAAUGAUGAUUACAUAGUGUGUCCUAUCAGAAAACCUGUGGUAGAUGCCACUGAUCUGAUGCAAGCACCAUGUUGUCACCCUUUCAAAACCUCGACCUCCUUUCUAAUUAUGUACCACUUAUGGAACCACAACCACAUCAAAUCAACCACUGAGGACUCGGAAAUGUUUCCUUGUAAAUGUCUCUCGCAGUUCUACCUGUUUGCUGGUCGAAACUGAGAAAUCCACAAGCAAUGCAGCCUCAAAUCAUAGACGAUAAUGCUGAUGCCUUGGUUGUGGUAGCACAAAGGAGCAGUCCUCUCUGGAAGAAAUCCAACCAUUCAGACUUACCAAUUCAAUCAAACUCACACAUAUGCAUGCGGACUUGUAUCCACAACGUUAAACAUCUAGCCAUGCCUUGGGUGAUAUCAGUUGCUUCAGUAAGUUUUUGUUAAUGUGGUAUGAUACAAUUGAAAAGCCUCUCUUACUUGCAAGAUCAUCAAUAAAACUGUUUCGUGCUCCACUAACGUGCCAAUCCCAAAUAUAUUGCUCAAGUGACUGCUAAAUAUUGAUGCACCAUGCAUUGAGAGCCUACAAAAGCAAUGUCCUCUCAUGGUAUCAACAAAAACAGAGACGUACGUGAGCUUAUACAAGAAGACUAUGCUUAAUGUAAUUGGAAAGGACCACAAGAGCUGCAAGAUGGGAAGGUUACUCACUGAAGAAUAAGUAACACAAGCACGAGGAACUGAUGGCUAACUACAUAGGAAAUGCAUUACCUAUUAGCUGUGGGAGAAGCAAGUGUUGACGAAGCAAGACAUCUAUAGCAGAUGAUGCGCAGAACAUACAUGGCACAAUCUCUUAGGCGACAAAUGCAGCAGAAUUAAUUUAAUUGAAUGGAUACGUAGUGACAUUUGAUGCUCUCCGAGAUGGUCCUAGGGCAAGGUGGCUCUGCCGUUUUAAUCAUAUCUGCAUGAAGAUUCCCCGUAGCUGAAGUAGGUCUUGGCUUUUCGAGUGCAGUUCUAGACACAGUCUGCUCCAUCAUACAAGGGCAUGGAGUUGGUUACAGCAACAAAAAGCAAAGUGCUCAGGGGCCAGGGCAAUCUUGGACUUACCUGCUAUUCUGUGGCGGGAGAAGUUUGAGGCAUUAGAAUCAGAUCCCGACAAUGUUUUUUCAACCUGUGACAACAGGUUAUCUAAAGAAAUAGAUAGUUGCUUGUCUAUGUAAGAAGAAUUAUUUGUAACAUUAACUUGCACUAAAACAAAAAGUAUGUCAUAAGCACUGCUUGACAAAUAUACAAACCUCUAGAAGGAAUAAGACUCAUUAUCUUUCGUCCAAUGCCAGUCAACAAGGAUGUGAAGAUGACAC